CUAUUUUGUGUCCGUUCGAAAAAUAUUCUCGCUGAGUUUUCCUCGCACUGUUUUUUCCACUUCUUUCCUAAUGCACGUGUUUUAAUCUACAUUGCCUUUGAUUUUUGUUCCAGGUGCGGAUUUUUGCAGUUAUAUGAUAACAAUUCUGCCUGGCUACGUGAAUUCGCCAAGACUAAUAAAUGGAGCCUGAGCUAGAUACGUUUGGAUCGUAGCGCCAUGACCUGUCCCUGCCGCCUCCGACCGCAUUCACCAUGUGAUCUACGAUUAAUCUUCAAAAUUUGGUAAGAUCUUCCUAGCUUGCAAUAAUUUUUUGUACCUAUCCGUUCGUAAAAUUGGAUGUAUGGUUUUUCUCCCAUCCACCUAUUUUUUUACGCCGCUGAUAGUGGCGAUGCAUGAAUGAUUGAUUAUCAAUAUUUCCUCCUUUGAAGUUAUGAUAAAAAAUCGAUUAUUAAGGUGUUCGUAUCGAACGCCCUGUUAAUCGAUCCUUUACCAUCGGUUUAAGUGGCAGAAUGUUCACACGGCAUUUUUCCGUAGCACAGCAGCAUGGUCCGGCAUCUAUUAAUUUUAAUGUUAGUGGGCUGUGGAGCUGAAUGAGGAGGUAUACAGCUCAAAUCCGUGUGUAAAGGCUUUACAAAAUCAAAUUAAUUACUGUUCAAUAACGAACAGUAUACCACAUCAACGCGUGCUCACCCACUCCUCCUGUCUCCCCACUCCAGCGGGCCGAUAAUUGAAAUUGAUAGACAAAGCGAUAGACAAAGAAGACAAAAGAAUGGAGGGAUCCUAUUGGUGGAAACGGGUGGUUGCAAUGGACAAAGGAGUUAGGUAAUAGACUAAGUAACGGCAACCCACGAGGGACCCGAUAGUUAGUCCAUCAUUUUCUCUCUUAGUCUAUAAGAACCAACCAUUUCAACCAAUAGGAUAGCUCUAUACUCCCUAUGUCUUCUUUGUCUAUCGCUUUGUCUAUCAAUUUCAAUAAUCGGCCCGCAGGGGUCGAACACCGCAAAUAUUAAACGAAGAAACCCGCGGAAGAC
This 1031-nucleotide long non-coding RNA is filed under the name Bemisia tabaci. RNAcentral describes it as "lncRNA ENSSSA2NGG011591". Lineage: Eukaryota; Metazoa; Arthropoda; Insecta; Hemiptera; Aleyrodidae. The record is from RNAcentral.